Mandrillus leucophaeus (drill) is the source of this 1595-nucleotide RNA transcript. It is a transcript of the gene named family with sequence similarity 228, member A, with no coding region annotated. The record is from RefSeq and is a predicted model, not a curated record. Lineage: Eukaryota; Metazoa; Chordata; Mammalia; Primates; Cercopithecidae. The transcript has 4 exons.
UUCUGUAAUUUUAGGUAUUAGCUAGAGAAGACAUUGAUGAAGCAGUACGUGCAAUAUUAUUUAGAGAAAAUUCUGUUGUGAAGGUUACAGUCCCACCAUUUGUUGAUCCUCUGCUUCAAAGACAGCAAGAGGUGGAUGAAGAGAAGAGAACUGGUCUUCAAUGUGAGACAGGAAAACGACAUUCCAUCAAAGAAUUUGAAGAAAUAGAGAAGGCCAGGCUGCAUGCCAGCUCGCCCUACUUCACUUUCACUUCACAUCGUGUGAUUCCAAAAGAGUGGCAUAAAGCCUCCACAAGAGCCAGGAGUAAAACUUACAAAUACAGUCCUGAAAAGCUCAUCUGUGCAGACAAGAAACAGAAAAGAAAAGAGAAAAAGACCACUGACCUAAGUCAGGCUGCAUUUGAAAGGCAAUUCCUUUCCUCAAAACUCAGCCAGAAGAACAAAGUGGGUGAAAGGAAGGAUCUGGUAAGCAGAGGCCUGGGGCGAGGCUGGCAUGCAGGGCUUUGCAGCCCCCACAAGCAGCACAUACUGGUUCCAGGAUGAGCCACCGCCACAGCCCUCCCUGUCAGACAAGCACCCAAGGGCGGAGGAGGCAUGGCCCAAGAAGAAGGGCGUGUAGAGGAGGAGGGAGAAAUGGCAGGUGGCCUCAGGCUCAGCACUGCAGCUCUGACAGGGCCCCUCAGGCAGGGAAGCCUUGUAUGAAGAAACUCAGACAGGUGGUAAAUGUGGGACCUGGACCCCACUUCCUGGAGACAGAUCCUGUCCUUCCAAGGUGAGGGCCAACCUGGCCACAGGGGCUUUUCCCCUGAGAUUUCUUCAGCGCCUUUGCCUGGGCCUUUGCCUUUCUGCCACUUUCCCGCCAUUUUCCACUUACUCCAUCCAAACUGCACCAAAAAUCGUGUUCUCCUUAGUCCACACACAACAGGUGGGAAGUUUUUGAAAUGAAAUUUAUACCAAAAAAUUAGGGCAAGAUGAGAUUUUUUAAUAUUUAAAAGGUAUUUUUAUAUGUAAGAAUUUUCCGAGUACAGAUUUCUUAUCUGGAGCUCAUGGUUCAUUUGACACGGUUUUCAGCUCCUGGUCUAUUUCCUCUUCCAAGCUCUCUGCCAUGCCGUGUACCCUGAGGCCUGAGGCACAGGACCCUCCCAGGGAAGGCCUAGGGGCCUCGGCUCAGGACCCGACAGCAUCACUCCCACCCCUCACCACCACACACACAGGAUGGGGAACUGCUACUUCUCUCCAGCCUGUGAGCCUGGAUAGCUAUUUUGUGACCCAGCUCCUGCUCAGUCUCAUUGCUGUCCCCGGUCUCUCCAGGGAGUAAGGGAUUCUCCAUCUGUGGUAAGUUACCUGUGACUCUUCAGCAGUUUCCUCUGAGCAUAAUUAUAUCUGAGAGCACAGGGGGCUCCUCAUUCCGUAUAUUUUUCAAAUAUUCAAGAUGUACAACGUGAUGAUUUGCUAUAAGUAUUGUGAAAUGUUCGCCACAGUCAAGCUUGUUGACAUACCCACCAGCUCACAUUGACUGUUUUCGUGCGUGUGUGGUGAGAAUACUCACGAUCUCCUCUCUGAGCCAAUUGCAAGUAUAUGUUAUUAGUAACUGUA